GCAUAUCAAUAAGCGGAGGAAAAGAAACCAACAGGGAUUGCCUUAGUAAACGGCGAAGUGAAGCGGCAACAGCUCCAAAUUUGAAAUCUGGCUCUUUCAGAGUCCGAGUUGUAAUUUGCAGAGGGCGCUUUGGCGUUGGCAGCGGUCCAAGUUUCCUUGGAACAGGACGUCACAGAGGGUGAGAAUCCCGUACGUGGUCGCUAGUCAUCGCCGUGUAAAGCCCCUUCGACGAGUCGAGUUGUUUGGGAAUGCAGCUCUAAAUGGGAGGUAAAUUUCUUCUAAAGCUAAAUACUGGCCAGAGACCGAUAGCGCACAAGUAGAGUGAUCGAAAGAUGAAAAGCACUUUGGAAAGAGAGUCAAACAGCACGUGAAAUUGUUGAAAGGGAAGCGCUUGCAGCCAGACUUGCCUGUAGUUGCUCAUCCGGGCUUUUGCCCGGUGCACUCUUCUGCGGGCAGGCCAGCAUCAGUUUGGGCGGUUGGAUAAAGGUCUCUGUCAUGUACCUCUCUUCGGGGAGAACUUAUAGGGGAGACGACAUACAACCAGCCUGGACUGAGGUCCGCGCAUUUGCUAGGAUGCUGGCGUAAUGGCUGUAAGCGGCCCGUCUUGAAACACGGACCAAGGAGUCUAACAUCUAUGCGAGUGUUUGGGUGUCAAGCCCGAGCGCGUAAUGAAAGUGAACGGAGGUGGGACCCCGUAAGGGUGCACCAUCGACCGAUCCUGAUGUCUUCGGAUGGAUUUGAGUAAGAGCAUGGCUGUUGGGACCCGAAAGAUGGUGAACUAUGCUUGAAUAGGGUGAAGCCAGAGGAAACUCUGGUGGAGGCUCGCAGCGGUUUCUGACGUGCAAAUCGAUCGUCAAAUUUGGGGCAUAGGGGCGAAAGACUAAUCGAACUAUCUAGUAGCUGGGUUCUGCG
This 912-nucleotide ribosomal RNA is filed under the name Ascochytula atriplicis. RNAcentral's name for it is "LSU rRNA". It matches the Rfam family "Eukaryotic large subunit ribosomal RNA", at positions 38 to 962 of the family's 3401-position model. The record is from RNAcentral. Lineage: Eukaryota; Fungi; Ascomycota; Dothideomycetes; Pleosporales.